Long non-coding RNA from Ornithodoros turicata, 280 nucleotides. RefSeq lists it as uncharacterized. The record is from RefSeq and is a predicted model, not a curated record. NCBI's taxonomy places the organism in Eukaryota, Metazoa, Arthropoda, Arachnida, Ixodida, Argasidae. The transcript has 2 exons.
CGUGCAUGGCGCCGAAACUGGGGGAAACAACAUAGACGCGAAGAUCCUGCAGUGCGUGCCGCCGAAGCAGAGGCAAAGCGGACUCAGCGCACGACACACAGGAAUGAGAGGAUCGUCAACACAAGACAACGUGAAGAAAGAACAAAAAAGACCAAACACUCAACGCUGCUCUUACCGCUGCGGCUAUAGCCUGGGCCCAUUGGUACUUGGCAACUACCACGAGGACACCAAUGCCACCAGCAAGGUAGAGGAGAAAUCCACAAGCAUGGAACACAAAGAA